CGGAGGAAAAGAAACCAACAGGGAUUGCCUCAGUAACGGCGAGUGAAGCGGCAACAGCUCAAAUUUGAAAUCUGGCCCCCCGGCCCGAGUUGUAAUUUGCAGAGGAUGCUUCUGGCGCGGUGCCUUCCAAGUCCCCUGGAACGGGGCGCCAUAGAGGGUGAGAGCCCCGUCUGGUUGGCCGCCAAGCCUGUGUGAAGCUCCUUCGACGAGUCGAGUAGUUUGGGAAUGCUGCUCUAAACGGGAGGUAGACCCCUUCUAAAGCUAAAUACCGGCCAGAGACCGAUAGCGCACAAGUAGAGUGAUCGAAAGAUGAAAAGCACUUUGAAAAGAGGGUUAAACAGUACGUGAAAUUGUUGAAAGGGAAGCGCUUGUGACCAGACGUGCGCCGGGUGUUCAGCGGGCGUUUUCGCCCGUGCAUUCGCCCCGGCGCAGGCCAGCGUCGGUUCGGGCGGGGGGAUAAAGGCGUCAGGAACGUAUCUCCCCCGGGAGUGUUAUAGCCUGGCGCGUCAUGCCCCCGCCUGGACCGAGGUUCGCGCUCCGCAAGGACGCUGGCGUAAUGGUCCCCAGCGGCCCGUCUUGAAACACGGACCAAGGAGUCGAGGUUUUACGCGAGUGUCUGGGUGUCAAACCCGCACGCGUAAUGAAAGUGAACGUAGGUGGGAGCUUCGGCGCACCACCGACCGAUCCUGAUGUUUUCGGAUGGAUUUGAGUAGGAGCGUAGGGCCUCGGACCCGAAAGAUGGUGAACUAUACUUGGAUAGGGUGAAGCCAGAGGAAACUCUGGUGGAGGCUCGCAGCGGUUCUGACGUGCAAAUCGAUCGUCAAAUCUGAGUAUGGGGGCGAAAGACU
This 848-nucleotide ribosomal RNA is filed under the name Dictyochaeta sp. RNAcentral describes it as "partial large subunit ribosomal RNA". It matches the Rfam family "Eukaryotic large subunit ribosomal RNA", at positions 51 to 932 of the family's 3401-position model. The record is from RNAcentral. Lineage: Eukaryota; Fungi; Ascomycota; Sordariomycetes; Chaetosphaeriales; Chaetosphaeriaceae.